CAGCAGCUUGCCUGAAACAUUGGCUAGUGCAUACCAUUCAAAACAUACAGUUAAAAAUAAAUAAAGAGAAAUUUAAAUGGACAGAAACUGGCUUGAAACUAAAACCAUCUUGAAGCUGGCAAAGGUAUUAAACUAUGGCCGAGCCCCACCUAAAUUAGCAAAACUAAAAUAUAUAGGCUUCUUGGUGCUAAUAACAAGUCCCCUGUUGCAUAUGAUAUGGCAGAAAUUCUGAGGUUUCUCAUUGCCUUCUCUUGUAUGGAAUGUGGAACAGAUGAUCUUUGCCAACUCCUUCAAUGUUCUGAGCCAAAAACUUUUCUGCUCUGAAGUAGUUUCUACGUUUUGCUCUGACAGAAUUUCUAAAGAAACAUGCAAAGGAUUUGUUUGUAUGUAUUGAAUCUACUAUUUUCAGGUUAGAAAAACACAUAUACAGUACUAAUGAUGCUGUUUAACCUCAUGAUGCUACCGUUUAACUUCCAACUUCUCCAUAUGGCAUUUAUUGUGGUUACAUGUUUCUCAGGUUUGUGAGAAUUCAAAUACCACGAGUGAAAGCCAUUGGAAGAUCAGAAUUCAAAGCAGAAACAAUAAGAUAAAGAUGGAACAAGUUGCAUGAUAUAAAUGAAUUAUCUCAUCAAUUUUUCCUUAAUCAAUCAAAUACAAAUUCCAGAAUUUUAAACAUUCUGGGAGCAAAACUUUGUUUACCAAUACAUCAAUCAUCAAACAAGCCUCCUUUAAUGCCUGAGGUAUACCUGUUAGUGUUAGUCAAAUUGGUGUUAGGACAGCAUCAUGAGAAAUAACCUCUUGCUUCACUGAUAUCAAAAAUGGAACUGAAAACCACCAUCAAAUCCGCCAAAGCCCCCUGGAAAGCCUCCUUCAAACUGAAAUGUGAAUUGUUGCCCUCCACCACCAAAGGGGUUGAAACCACCACCUCCACCACCCAUUCCCAUUUCUUCUAAGUCUUCUCCUCUAUCAUACCUUGCACGCUUAUCUUCAUCACUAAGAACCUCAUAUGCAGCAGCAACUUUUUGGAACUUGGCUUCUGCUUCUUCUCUAUUAUCAACAUUCUUAUCUGGGUGCCAUUGCAAAGCAAGUUUUUUAUAGGCACGCUUGAUCUCAGAUACAGAGGCAGUCUUUGAUACUCCCAAAAUCUUGUACCAAUCUUGCCGUUUGCUCAUCUUUAAGGCUUUCUCUGCUCGCAUUAAUGUUUCCCGUAUAUUCACGUCCUGAGGUGAUUUCUCAGCUGCUGAUUUGAGAUCUUGAACAGCUCCUUCCCAGUCCUCUAUUAAGAGUUUAGCUUCACCCCUCUGCACUAAAGCUUCAAGUAGAUCCCCAUCAAUGUUAAGUGCUUCAGUGCAGCUAGUCAAAGCAUCUUUGCCCCUACCAAGCUUGACCAAUACCUUACACAAGCCUAGAUGAAGGUGAACAUUAUAUGCAAGAUGAUCAGGGUCCAAUGAAAGAGCUGCUUUAUAGUCCUCUACUGCAACACGCAGCUUGCCCUUAUUUACAUUAUCUUCUGCACUUUUAGUCUUCUUGAGUAAAUUUUUUAAUCCAAAAUAUGCUUUCUUCAGCUCACUGUGUUCUGGAUCGAGACGAAGACCUUUUUGGAAAUGCUUUGAAGCAACAUCAUGAUCCGCUAAAUAGUAGUAGGCACGGCCACGGAGAAAGAAUGCCUCUAGAUUAGUUUCAUCUUCCUUGAGAAUAUAACCUGUUUCAGAGAUGGCAGCAGAAUAGUCUUUAACUGCUAGCAACAAUCUAACUUUUAGAAGUUUAGCCUGCAAUAAAUAAGUCACAUGGUUUCAUUGCACUGAUAGAGUAAGGAAAAAAAGCUCUUGGGAAAUGUUAACGAGCUGCUAAAGGACCAUGUUCAAACAAGAAACGUAGUUAACAACAAAUUACAACUUUAUGAAGUUACAAAUUACAACUUUAUGAAGUUGUACAACUUCUUGACCAUGCAGUUCUUUUAUCAAAAUAUUACAAAGAUUUUACCUUUGAGCAGGCUGGGGAAAAAACAAGUACAACUUUAUCAACAAAUUCCAGAGAUUUUGCAUAAUCGCCUGAAUCAAAUAGAGUAAAAGCUGUAUCUAAAGCACUCUGAGCCUGAAGUAAUUGAGAAAGCUCCUUUUCUGCUGUUUUAUGCCUUGGUUUUAGCUCCAGAAAUUUGGUAUAGCUCUUUUCCGAUUCUUCAUAUCUGCAUAGCUGACGAAGAAUAGAAGCUCGACGAAAAUAUGCUUCUGAUAGUGUUGGAUCUACCUCAAUGGCUGCAUUAAGAUCAUCAAGGGCCUCGCUAUAACGCUUAAACUUUACACUGCGCUCCACCUUUUCAAAUAACUCUGCAACAUUUCCACUUUUACCAUCUGAAGCAGAAACAAGAGGUCGAAGAAGUAAGAGCUGGCAAACGAACACAAAAUGAAGUAUAAAUAGUGUAUACGCCAUUCCUCUCCGUGCCACACCAUCCACCACCAACCCCCACCGCAAUCUCAUCGUAUCCAUUCUCUUCCUCUUCCUCUUCUUCUACCGGUGCAUCAAUAAAGCAGGAAAAUUUUCAUAUAUACAAAUCUGGAUUUCGAGUUUGAAUAAUCUGGGAUUUCGAGUUUGAAUUGGAAAUGUUGGAGGAACUCGAGACUGAAAUCGAUGAGGAUUUUCAAAGAGAAAGGUUGAAGAGGCCUUGUGGAAUGAUUCGCUAUCGAUACACGUAGC
This 2694-nucleotide unclassified non-coding RNA is filed under the name Hevea brasiliensis (rubber tree). Lineage: Eukaryota; Viridiplantae; Streptophyta; Magnoliopsida; Malpighiales; Euphorbiaceae. The record is from RNAcentral.